UACCUAUCAGUGAAAGUCUCGUCUAAAU
RNAcentral lists this small RNA (28 nucleotides) under Bombyx mori (domestic silkworm). RNAcentral's name for it is "ovarian small RNA-20839". Lineage: Eukaryota; Metazoa; Arthropoda; Insecta; Lepidoptera; Bombycidae. The record is from RNAcentral.